GCAGUAGCCACGGGAAUACAGAGGGUGCGAGCGUUAAUCGGAUUUACUGGGCGUAAAGCGUGCGUAGGCGGCUUCUUAAGUCGGAUGUGAAAUCCCUGAGCUUAACUUAGGAAUUGCAUUCGAUACUGGGAAGCUAGAGUAUGGGAGAGGAUGGUAGAAUUCCAGGUGUAGCGGUGAAAUGCGUAGAGAUCUGGAGGAAUACCGAUGGCGAAGGCAGCCAUCUGGCCUAACACUGACGCUGAGGUACGAAAGCAUGGGGAGCAAACAGGAUUAGAUACCCCAGUAGUCCCUGUCUCUUAUAC
Molecule: ribosomal RNA, 302 nt
Filed under: uncultured bacterium
Lineage: Bacteria
Description: partial 16S ribosomal RNA
Rfam family: Bacterial small subunit ribosomal RNA
Source: RNAcentral